RNAcentral lists this ribosomal RNA (689 nucleotides) under Faecalibacterium prausnitzii. RNAcentral's name for it is "bacterial SSU rRNA". It matches the Rfam family "Bacterial small subunit ribosomal RNA", at positions 437 to 1152 of the family's 1533-position model. Lineage: Bacteria; Bacillati; Bacillota; Clostridia; Eubacteriales; Oscillospiraceae. The record is from RNAcentral.
UGUUGAGGAAGAUAAUGACGGUACUCAACAAGGAAGUGACGGCUAACUACGUGCCAGCAGCCGCGGUAAAACGUAGGUCACAAGCGUUGUCCGGAAUUACUGGGUGUAAAGGGAGCGCAGGCGGGAAGACAAGUUGGAAGUGAAAUCCAUGGGCUCAACCCAUGAACUGCUUUCAAAACUGUUUUUCUUGAGUAGUGCAGAGGUAGGCGGAAUUCCCGGUGUAGCGGUGGAAUGCGUAGAUAUCGGGAGGAACACCAGUGGCGAAGGCGGCCUACUGGGCACCAACUGACGCUGAGGCUCGAAAGUGUGGGUAGCAAACAGGAUUAGAUACCCUGGUAGUCCACACUGUAAACGAUGAUUACUAGGUGUUGGAGGAUUGACCCCUUCAGUGCCGCAGUUAACACAAUAAGUAAUCCACCUGGGGAGUACGACCGCAAGGUUGAAACUCAAAGGAAUUGACGGGGGCCCGCACAAGCAGUGGAGUAUGUGGUUUAAUUCGACGCAACGCGAAGAACCUUACCAAGUCUUGACAUCCCUUGACGAUGCUGGAAACAGUAUUUCUCUUCGGAGCAAGGAGACAGGUGGUGCAUGGUUGUCGUCAGCUCGUGUCGUGAGAUGUUGGGUUAAGUCCCGCAACGAGCGCAACCCUUAUGGUCAGUUACUACGCAAGAGGACUCUGGCCAGACUGC